GGAUGGUCUCGAUCUCCUGACCUCGUGAUCCACCCGCCUUGGCCUCCCAAAGUGUUGGGAUUACAGGCAUGAGCCACCGUACCUGGCCCAGGUUUUCCUUUUUUUUUAUGUCUUCUGUACAAUAGAGUUGGCCCUCCAUAUCCACAGGUUCCACAUCCCUGAUUCAAUCAACUCCUGAUAAAAAAUAUUGGAAAAAAUUUUUAUAACAAUAAAAACCAAUAAUACAACAAUAAUUACAAAUAAUACAUUGUAACAAUGAUUUCCAUGGCAUUUAUAAUACAUUGUAUUAGGUAUUAUAAGUAAACGAGAUGAUUUGAAGUAUAUUGGAGGAUGUGCAUAGGUUAUACUAUGCCGUUUUAUAUAAAGGACUUAAGCGUCUGUGGAUUUUGGUAUCUGCAGAGGUCCUGGAACCGGUCUCCCUUGGAUACGGAGGGACAACUGUAGUUCUCUGUCUUUGAAAACAUUAAUCGAUACAAGUGGCCAGUGAAUGUAUAGUAUGGGAGGGAGUAAUCCAGUAUGGGGGACAAGGUUGCCAUAUAUUUGCCAAAAGUAGUUGAAUCUUCUUUCUGUUUUUCCCUCCUGGUGGAAUAAGUUUAUUGUUUGCUAUGAGGAGCCAGAGGCUGUGUUUGUUUAAAGCAAUGGUACCCAAUCUUAAGCAUGUGUAAAGGUCUCCCUGGGUCUGUGAACCAUACCUUGAGAAAUAACUAGAAAAGUAAAAGAAUGGUGAACCACUAUUAAUAAUACUUCCAUUUUGCAUACUAAAUAUGUUGCGUGUACCUGUGUGUGUGUGUUGGGAAUAGUAAUAUGAAGUUUGCUCACAAAACACUCCCACUGUGAUUCACAUUAUUUUAUAGCACAACCAAUAAUGAUUAAACAUAAUUAUUUCCUUUGACUACUUUUCAUUUCAGUGGUAAAACAGCUGAUGAAAGUUAUUUGGGAUGGAAAGAGUAAUACAAGACAUACGCAGAUGGAGUCUCCUGUGCGUAGGUUUAGCACACCCAUGUUAGCUUGUCCACAUUAGGCCUUCUUUUGAAGGUACUGUAUCUAAAGAUAAGGGCAUAAGUGAUCAUUUAAUUCUCAGCCACUUCACUGAUACUACAAGGUGUUACACAGUAAUUAUAGUGGUUUGAUACAGACAUUUGUUUACAAGAAACUGAAUUGGCAUUAUUAACUUAUUUCACACAAAAAAAGUUAGCUUUACCCAUGAACUGUAAUUCAGAUUGAUAAGGUGACCUACCCAUGAAAAAGACACCUGAGACCUGUUUACUUUUUUAAACUAUGAAGUGAAAUCCUCAGUUCAAUAAGUGUCCCAAGGAGAAUUUCCUCUGUUAAAUUUUCCCUGUUAACUUAGUAUAAUUGGUUUUCUUGAAUAGAAGAAUAAUGAUUUCUGUAAGAUAUUUUAAUGUGAAUAUUUUUGCUGUCUUCAUCUUUAAAAAUUAAAUACAGUACUAUAUAUAGAUAUUAAAAUUUUAAAGUGGGACUAGGUGUUUUUAUGUAUACAAUUACAGUUUGUCUCCUCUCUUUGCAAAUUUACUGGCUAUUAUCAGAAUAAAGGUUGGACUCAUUUUGCUUAUCCCAGUCAUUAAAAUGUUGUGAUCUGUUUCUAACAUAUUUAGCAUUUCAUUUUUAAAAUGAGAUGUGCCAU
RNAcentral lists this long non-coding RNA (1645 nucleotides) under Homo sapiens (human). RNAcentral describes it as "non-protein coding lnc-ACOT12-4:1". The record is from RNAcentral. Lineage: Eukaryota; Metazoa; Chordata; Mammalia; Primates; Hominidae.